Molecule: ribosomal RNA, 388 nt
Filed under: uncultured bacterium
Lineage: Bacteria
Description: bacterial SSU rRNA
Rfam family: Bacterial small subunit ribosomal RNA
Source: RNAcentral
GACGAACGCUGGCGGCGUGCUUAACACAUGCAAGUCGAGCGGUAAGGCCCUUUUGGGGGUACACGAGCGGCGAACGGGUGAGUAACACGUGGGUGACCUGCCCUCAGCUCUGGGAUAAGCCUGGGAAACCGGGUCUAAUACCGGAUAUGACUCCAUGACGCAUGUUGUGGGGUGGAAAGCCUUGUGCGGCUGAGGAUGGGCCCGCGGCCUAUCAGCUUGUUGGUGGGGUGAUGGCCUACCAAGGCGACGACGGGUAGCCGGCCUGAGAGGGCGACCGGCCACACUGGGACUGAGACACGGCCCAGACUCCUACGGGAGGCAGCAGUGGGGAAUCUUGCGCAAUGGGCGAAAGCCUGACGCAGCGACGCCGCGUGAGGGAUGACGGCCU